RNAcentral lists this ribosomal RNA (229 nucleotides) under uncultured bacterium. RNAcentral's name for it is "partial 16S ribosomal RNA". It matches the Rfam family "Bacterial small subunit ribosomal RNA", at positions 568 to 796 of the family's 1533-position model. The record is from RNAcentral.
UGCGUAGGCGGCCCAGUAAGUCAGUGGUGAAAUCCUGCCGCUUAACGGUAGAACUGCCAUUGAAACUGCUGGGCUUGAGUACAGUUGAGGUAGGCGGAAUGUGUAGUGUAGCGGUGAAAUGCUUAGAUAUUACACAGAACCCCGAUUGCGAAGGCAGCUUACUAAACUGUAACUGACACUGAGGUACGAAAGCGUGGGGAGCGAACAGGAUUAGAUACCCUGGUAGUCC